Molecule: non-coding RNA, 2642 nt
Organism: Chiloscyllium plagiosum (whitespotted bambooshark)
Lineage: Eukaryota; Metazoa; Chordata; Chondrichthyes; Orectolobiformes; Hemiscylliidae
Source: RefSeq, a predicted model, not a curated record
AACUAGAGAAAAAAACAAGUGAGGUAAUUAGCUUAUGAUAGGAUGGGAAAAGGGAGGCGUGAUUCCGCAACUUGCGAACUGAAUAAGAAUGCUCACAUGUUUUGUUUUCGCGCACAUUUCUGCUUGAUUGCAGAAGCGUCAGGUACUUGCAAGGCUGUAAUAAAUUGUUCUUGUUUCCAAGGCUUUGUCUCAGGCUGAUUUCUGAGUGAGUUCUGUUUCUCACACUUGGGGACUCAUCCGGGAUCCAAAACUCCGACCGCUCGACACUCUUGGGACGACGGAGGAGGUGUACCUUGCCGAUUUCGGUGAUCUCCGACUCCCUUGCUUGUUGUUCGCGGUUUGGGCGAGUACCAUCCGGACUGGGAGACCCUGGAAACAAGGCGGGCAGACGCGGCGGGUUCGGUCAGGCAACUCUUGUGCACAAGACCCGGGUAGGGAAAGGUCUUAAAGGAAAUAUCCGGGCGACCGGGAGCAGCGGUAUUUGCUGCAGGAAUUGCCAUGGGACAGGGCACACUGAAACGACCAGGUAACUCUGUGCACAGACCAAGGAAGAAAGGUCUGUUGACCCAGACACCUCCACUUGAGUUCGCAGUACAUCGGAUACGACUGGGUGAUUGGAUCCUGAUAAAGACCUGGAAAGAUACCAAACUGCACCCAAGCUGGGAGGGACCGUUCCUAACCCUCCUGACUACUGAAACAGCCAUCCGAACUGCUGAAAAAGGGUGGAGUCAUCACACUCGUGUUAAGGGCCCGGUGGACACUCCUUCCUCUCCAGCAGCGGGCAAGCACAUCCUUUAGACAAGCCUCUGAAAAUCAAGCUGAGCAAAAAGAAUGGACUGAGAUAAGAGACUAUUAAGUAUUGAUUAAAAAACUGUAUCCCAAAACUUUGCGGGGUGGUUCCCUCAGCCAGCCCCGAAAACUCUGGGUGCUAUCAAUGGCCUUAGAGUUUCCCCACUGAAAGGAGCAGUAAAUACCACUUGUUUCUGUAAUCAGAAUGAUACUACACCCUUCCGAUUAGGAAAUUCAUCUUGUGUCUACACCAGCCAAGCUACUCCCACAACCGUUCCCCAAGUAUUGAAUAGGACAUAUUGGGUGGGUAGCUUAAAGGCCUACCCAUUUAUUCCCGGUGAGAAGUAUGUUUGGAGUGGCGGAUGUAAAGGGAAUGGGUGCUGGGACCAUCCAGUUCAGACACUACCUCAAAACCAGAAAGGUUGGAGUGGCUGCUGCUACCUUGCCUAUAUAAUUCCGCACUUGAGGCUGUUAAAGAGAGCCCCAAAAAUACCUUGGAAUAAACAGGGAGGAAGGCAAGUAACCCAGAAAGUAACCGAAAGAGAUCGCCUCCUCUGGACUUUGAUACCUAUGUAUGGGACUGCUUGAGCAGAAGUAGAAAUACAAAAGUUGGCGGCUUCCCUGGAAGAGUUGGCCAACAAUACUGCUGAUGCGUUGGCCGAAACCCAAUCCCAAGUAGCAGCCAUAACGACCGAUAUGAUUGCCACUAGGCUAAUGACCCUUCAGUACAGGAUGGCUCUAGAUUAGAUUCUGGCAGAGAAGGGUGGUACCUGUGCACUAAUUGGAGAAGAAUUUUGUACGUACAUACCUGAGGUCUCCUCUAACAUCACUGAUAUCUCCAAACAUGUGCAAGACAAAAUCGCCAAGAUAAGGGAGGCCAGUAAUUUGCAUCCUGAAUCAAUCCACCAGGUUUCUUCUAAUCCCAAAAGUUAAGCUUCCUAUGUAGUGAGUCGUACAUUCACCUACUAAGCUGUUAUGUCAAUGUUUGGUUUGGUACCAGUUAUCAGGCCCCUGGGAUCCGAGCUACAGGUCUAAUUGUUGUGGUGAAAAUAAACACCCACGAAUCUGGAGGAUCAGCUAAGCAAAGAUUUUAUUCAAGCGUAUGCAAGGAGAAGGUCUCAGUCACCCAAAAGCCUCAUUCGUCAAACUAAAAUUUCCAGCAUUCAAACUCCUGUAAUAUAGUUUCCCAACAUCACAUUCAUUAGCCAUUUGGCUUCACAUGAUGACAUAGUUAACAUUCCAGGACAGUGUGUUCUGCAAGCAACAAGCAGUGUAACCUAAAAGUUACUUUUCCCUACUGUUCUCCUACAUUGUCUCACUUCAUAAACUAUGAAAAAAUAAAAUACUUUUUUUUUAAAAAACAAGCCCUUUUUAAUACAAUUCAGGGAUAGGAGGAGAAAAUAUUAAAGAUCUAAUACAACAUGGCAGAGUUUCCACCUUGGAUUCAGCUCAAAAUUGUGCUUGCUGUCUGAAGUUUCUUUGCUCAUGUUUCUGCUUGAAAACAUUUGCAUAUUGGCAAAUUUAAUUGUCUCUACAAAUCUGGGCAAUACUGCACAAUUUAGAAUGUCAAUGUAUUCUGUUUUUUUUUGUAGAAACUAAUAUUCUUCAACAUAUGUAGUUUGCUUAAUUUAUAUGAGGUUUAUUACUAUAGUGUUCCCGUCCACUACCUGAUUGUAAACAAUGAUAUUAAGCAAAACUCUACAGAGGCAUUUAUUAAUUUCACUGGGGUAUAGCUGUCGAUUUCCCGAGUGACAGAUAUUUUCCUGUAUUUAAAAAAAUUCUAAAACAUGCUCAUUUGUGAAUAAUGUUAUGAAUUUUCUUGAAGGCCAGUAAAAGGACAAGUGAAAAAAAAA